GUCGCUGUGGCCGAGUGGUUAAGGCGAUUGACUAGAAAUCAAUUCCUUUCGGGGGCAUAGGUUCGAGUCCUAUCGGCGACG
This 81-nucleotide transfer RNA is filed under the name Dactylellina haptotyla CBS 200.50. RNAcentral's name for it is "tRNA-Ser (AGA) (tRNA-Ser-AGA-1 1 to 3)". It matches the Rfam family "tRNA". From Rfam's summary of the family: Transfer RNA (tRNA) molecules are approximately 80 nucleotides in length. Their secondary structure includes four short double-helical elements and three loops (D, anti-codon, and T loops). Further hydrogen bonds mediate the characteristic L-shaped molecular structure. tRNAs have two regions of fundamental functional importance: the anti-codon, which is responsible for specific mRNA codon recognition, and the 3' end, to which the tRNAs corresponding amino acid is attached (by aminoacyl-tRNA synthetases). tRNAs cope with the degeneracy of the genetic code in two manners: having more than one tRNA (with a specific anti-codon) for a particular amino acid; and 'wobble' base-pairing, i.e. permitting non-standard base-pairing at the 3rd anti-codon position. Lineage: Eukaryota; Fungi; Ascomycota; Orbiliomycetes; Orbiliales; Orbiliaceae. The record is from RNAcentral.